RNAcentral lists this ribosomal RNA (250 nucleotides) under uncultured bacterium. RNAcentral describes it as "partial 16S ribosomal RNA". It matches the Rfam family "Bacterial small subunit ribosomal RNA", at positions 524 to 773 of the family's 1533-position model. The record is from RNAcentral.
CACGUAGGGUCCGAGCGUUGUCCGGAAUUACUGGGCGUAAAGCGCGCGCAGGCGGUCCGGUCAGUCGAUGGUGAAAGCCCCACGCUCAACGUGGGAAGGUCCGUCGAGACGGCCGGACUGGAGGCAGGGAGAGGCCGGUGGAAUUCCGGGUGUAGUGGUGAAAUGCGUAGAGAUCCGGAGGAACACCAGAGGCGAAGGCGGCCGGCUGGACCUGACCUGACGCUGAGGCGCGAAGGCGUGGGGAGCGAAC